This is a long non-coding RNA of Hyalella azteca, 2175 nucleotides long. RefSeq lists it as uncharacterized. Lineage: Eukaryota; Metazoa; Arthropoda; Malacostraca; Amphipoda; Hyalellidae. The record is from RefSeq and is a predicted model, not a curated record. The transcript is spliced from 3 exons.
CCGUAGCGGUAAAUGCAUCGCGGCGUCUAAGCUCUGCGACAAUAAGUUCAUGGACUGCGACCAAGGAGAAGACGACUACUGCCACCGUCUGCACCGGUGUACUGGUAACAAGUCAUUCAAGUGUGACUACGGCAUGUGUGUGGAGAACACAGCUGUGUGUGACGGCAUUUAUAACAUCGAACAGGCCAUUCAAGUACGGCAACGGAGAGUGCAUCACUAUGGAUACGAUUUUGAGUUGGCGGUUCAGCCUUCGAGGCUUUGUCGGGUUGUGGACGCGGUCUGAAGAAGACAGUCCACGAGGCUGGCACGGCUGGGUCCCAGGGGAGCACUUGUCGGUUAUCUCGGUGUGCUCGCCUUUCUUUUGAUCUAACUUGGAAGCAAUAAGAGUCCGAGCAGCGGUGUCAGAUCGGACAGCGCAGCGUGAUGUGCAGGUGCCAUUCGAGGGCCGCAGCGAUCUUAAGGAGAUUCAAGCUGAGGAUGAUUAAACGAACGGGCGGAUUAUGAGGCGGCGGUCAGCUUUGACACGUCAAACAUACGCUGACGCCUGGGUGGACCAGAACACAAGUCUGAAAAAGAAGACGUUCCUUGUGUUUAGACGUGCGAGUAAUUCUGGACACUAUCCAGCUGUGUAUAUGUUGUUUGUAAUAUUCCUUAUGAAAAAUUUAAAGCCUGAAACAAACACUUUAUAAGUAUUCUUCAAGUAUAUGAAUGGAACAUAGAGCCUAUUUCUUGGGUGAGUCAUGGCAUGUCCUUAGCUGUGACCAGCGAAAGCAGAGAGCACAGCAAUACUAAACUGAUUUUAUCAUUUACACAGCUUUUAAACGGAUUUAGUGGUUGUGCGGUGACUUAUGGAUAAUACAAUUAAGUGAAGUUGAAGUUAGUGCGUUGAAUCUUGAUUUUUGAUUGUAAGCUUGGUUAGUUCGUGCUAUUCAUUUUCUAACGCUAGGUUGAGUUACCUAGAGGCACCGGUUUAAAUUACUGAUAUUGCCGAUUAGAGAUCUAAAGAUUUCAUGCGUAUCUUAUUAAAAAACUAGGCGAGGUGUGUUCUAUAUUUGCUCGCCACUUAAUGAUUACUUUCUAGAUUUUCCAGAAACCAGAUAGGUGUUCUAUAUUUGCUCGCCACUUAAUGAUUACCUUUGUACGUACUUAUUAACUUUGUUGAAGUUAUUAACUAAAAUUGUUUUAGUGUUAGACUUUUUUGUUUGAUUCACUUGAGGAAGUCAGUAGGUGGUAAACAGUGUGAACUGAAUUACAAAACCGAAUAUUGAGGAGAGUUUAAGUCGGCGUAGUUGUAAUUUUAUUAUUUUAAUAAUGAUUUAUUUAACAAUAAACAGUCCUUGCCUUUUUCUUGCCGUGAUAUUUUCUUGCUUUCCAAUACCGCGAUGAACUGGACUGUGGCAGUGUGAUGAUCAAUAACGUAUUUAUUUUUGUUUCCGGUAUAUGCUUAAUUAAAAUUUGAUAUAAAUUACGUGAUUCUGCGCCAUUCUUAAGUCGCUGUCAUAUAUAAUAUGUGUAAUAUGUGAUAUAUUAAAUUUUGUAUAGUGUCAUUGAACACUUGCCAAAAAUUACCACCACAUCCGCCGCCCGGGUGGGCGAGAACACAAGCCUGAACAGACGACGAUCCUUGUGUGUAGACGUUCGAGUAUGCUAGUAACUGUCCAGCUGUGUAUAUGAAAUGGUUGUAACAUUCUCAAUGAGAAUAUCAAUGCCCGAGAAAAACAUUUUGUAUUGAUACUGUAGGUAUAUAAAUGCAAUACAAAGGCCUUUUUUUAUUCAGCUGUUCAUUGUGUAUCGUUAGUUAUGACCAGCAAAAGCAGUGAGCUAGCAACGCACUAGUGCAUCCUGAUAUAUAGUUAAGUUUUGCUUUUUAACUGAUUUUGUGGUUGUGCGGUGAUUUUGGAUAGCAUAAUUAAGUGAAGUUAGUUUGUUGAAUAUUGAUUUUUCAUUGCAAACUUAGUUAAUAUGUGAUCUUAAUUUUGUCACGCUAGGGUAAGUUACCUAGAGGCGCUGGUUAAACGUGUAUAUAAUAUACGUAUUAUAUAACGUAUAAUAUACCGUGUAAAUGUUAUGCUGUACACAUUUGAAGGUAAUGUUGUAAAUGUUGUGUGAUUUCUGGUAAAACUUUUCCGCCCCUUGUGGGUGAUAAAUGAAUUUUUAGAUUUAGGAAAACUUUCU